This 67-nucleotide transfer RNA is filed under the name pig gut metagenome. It matches the Rfam family "tRNA". Rfam says of the family: Transfer RNA (tRNA) molecules are approximately 80 nucleotides in length. Their secondary structure includes four short double-helical elements and three loops (D, anti-codon, and T loops). The record is from RNAcentral.
UGGUGUAGCUCAAUUGGCAGAGCAGCUGAUUUGUAAUCAGCAGGUUGAGGGUUCAAUUCCCCCCACC